Lactuca sativa (garden lettuce) is the source of this 644-nucleotide long non-coding RNA. RefSeq lists it as uncharacterized. The record is from RefSeq and is a predicted model, not a curated record. NCBI's taxonomy places the organism in Eukaryota, Viridiplantae, Streptophyta, Magnoliopsida, Asterales, Asteraceae.
CCUAUUCUCUUCUAUUCAUCGUCGCCCCCAACCUUUUCCCUCUCAUCUCCCUCCCGUACACACUCCUAUGCCAUCGACUCCGGCAAAUUCAGGUAAAGGGUAAAGGGUAAAGGGUGGCUUGGAUUUGUAACCGGUCGGUAGUAAGAGGGAUGAUGGCUGGUUGUCCAAUCGUGGUACGUAUUUCCACUUGUUGCUUUCUCAUAUACGGUGGUUCAAGCAAAUAUGAGCUUGUAAUUGAUGUGGAUAGUUAUAGUUGUUUGAUUAAUAAUCACGAUAUAUGUUAAUUAUGAUUGGAUAUUUAUGGUGUUAACAACACAACUUGGAUUUGGUGGUGUUUCGGUGGAUCUUCUGGCGACUGUGGCUUCUUUCCCCAACCCCGACGACAAGAUCAGAAGCACCAGCAUGAAGGAAAUUUAAAGUUGUUUUGAUGCACACCAAGCGCUCGCUAAAAUGCUUCAACUGAAUGAAGCUGAUGUUUGAAGAACGGACCACGAAAUUUGAACGACGUCUCUUAACAACAUUAUUCUUUUAGACUGUAUUAGUGUCUUUGUUCGAUUUUGAUGUUUUUUUCCAGAUUUGAAAGUUUUUUUUUUAUUUUUAUUCUUUAACAAUAAAAUGUAAUUCUUAGCAAUUAUUACAUGUAU